AACGAACGCUGGCGGCAGGCCUAACACAUGCAAGUCGAACGAGAUCUUCGGAUCUAGUGGCGGACGGUGAGUAACGCGUGGAACGUGCCCUUCUCUACGGAAUAGUCCUGGGAAACUGGGUUUAAUACCGUAUACGCCGUCGGGGAAAGAAUUUCGGGAAGGAUCGGCCGCGUUGGAUUAGGUAGUUGGUGGGUAAUGGCCUACCAAGCCGACGAUCCAUAGCUGGUUUGAGAGGAUGAUCCAGCCACACUGGGACUGAGACACGGCCCAGACUCCUACGGGAGGCAGCAGUGGGAAUCUUAGACAAUGGGGCAACCCUGAUCUAGCCAUGCCGCGUGAGUG
This 342-nucleotide ribosomal RNA is filed under the name uncultured bacterium. RNAcentral's name for it is "bacterial SSU rRNA". It matches the Rfam family "Bacterial small subunit ribosomal RNA", at positions 29 to 407 of the family's 1533-position model. The record is from RNAcentral.